RNAcentral lists this ribosomal RNA (440 nucleotides) under uncultured bacterium. RNAcentral describes it as "partial 16S ribosomal RNA". It matches the Rfam family "Bacterial small subunit ribosomal RNA", at positions 338 to 795 of the family's 1533-position model. The record is from RNAcentral.
CCUACGGGAGGCAGCAGUGGGGGAUAUUGCACAAUGGGGGGAACCCUGAUGCAGCGACGCCGCGUGUGGGAAGACGGUCCUCUGGAUUGUAAACCACUGUCCCCAGGGACGAAAAUGACGGUACCUGGGGAGGAAGCUCCGGCUAACUACGUGCCAGCAGCCGCGGUAAUACGUAGGGAGCGAGCGUUGUCCGGAAUUACUGGGUGUAAAGGGAGCGUAGGCGGGGAUGCAAGUUGGGGGGAAAAACUACCGGCUCAACUGGUAGUCGCACUUAAAACUGGAGCUCUUGAGUGAAGUAGAGGCAGGCGGAAUUCCUAGUGUAGCGGUGAAAUGCGUAGAUAUUAGGAGGAACACCAGUGGCGAAGGCGGCCGGCUGGGCUUUUACUGACGCUGAGGCUCGAAAGUGUGGGGAGCAAACAGGAUUAGAUACCCCAGUAGUC